Molecule: ribosomal RNA, 348 nt
Filed under: uncultured bacterium
Lineage: Bacteria
Description: bacterial SSU rRNA
Rfam family: Bacterial small subunit ribosomal RNA
Source: RNAcentral
AGAGUUUGAUCAUGGCUCAGGAUGAACGCUAGCUACAGGCUUAACACAUGCAAGUCGAGGGGCAGGCAUGUUGGUUGCUUGCAACCAAUGAUGGCGACCGGCGCACGGGUGAGUAACGCGUAUCCAACCUACCCUUGUCCAUCGGAUAACCCGUCGAAAGGCGGCCUAACACGAUAUGCGGUUCUCAGCAGGCAUCUAACGAGAACGAAAUGUGAAGGAGAAGGAUGGGGAUGCGUCUGAUUAGCUUGUUGGCGGGGUAACGGCCACCAAGGCACGAUCAGUAGGGGUUCUGAGAGGAAGGUCCCCCANAUUGGAACUGAGACACGGUCCAAACUCCUACGGGAGGCA